This 465-nucleotide ribosomal RNA is filed under the name Vreelandella stevensii. Its description in RNAcentral is "partial 16S ribosomal RNA". It matches the Rfam family "Bacterial small subunit ribosomal RNA", at positions 338 to 795 of the family's 1533-position model. The record is from RNAcentral. Lineage: Bacteria; Pseudomonadati; Pseudomonadota; Gammaproteobacteria; Oceanospirillales; Halomonadaceae.
CCUACGGGAGGCUGCAGUGGGGAAUAUUGGACAAUGGGGGCAACCCUGAUCCAGCCAUGCCGCGUGUGUGAAGAAGGCCCUCGGGUUGUAAAGCACUUUCAGUGAGGAAGAACGCCUGGUGGUUAAUACCCAUCAGGAAAGACAUCACUCACAGAAGAAGCACCGGCUAACUCCGUGCCAGCAGCCGCGGUAAUACGGAGGGUGCGAGCGUUAAUCGGAAUUACUGGGCGUAAAGCGCGCGUAGGUGGCUUGAUAAGCCGGUUGUGAAAGCCCCGGGCUCAACCUGGGAACGGCAUCCGGAACUGUCAAGCUAGAGUGCAGGAGAGGAAGGUAGAAUUCCCGGUGUAGCGGUGAAAUGCGUAGAGAUCGGGAGGAAUACCAGUGGCGAAGGCGGCCUUCUGGACUGACACUGCCACUGAGGUGCGAAAGCGUGGGUAGCAAACAGGAUUAGAUACCCGAGUAGUC